Molecule: non-coding RNA, 1693 nt
Organism: Salvelinus sp. IW2-2015
Lineage: Eukaryota; Metazoa; Chordata; Actinopteri; Salmoniformes; Salmonidae
Source: RefSeq, a predicted model, not a curated record
AUCUUAGGUAUGACCCCAGAGGUUAACGUGAGGUUACAAAUAUGAGUAAGAGCACCAGCGAUAAGUGGUGCAGCUCUAACCAGCAACCCUGGGCCAAGUUUGUCAGCCCCUGUUGCUUUCAUAGUGUCUAUGGCUAAGGCAUCAAUAACUUUCUCCUCUGUGAAGAGGCUUAGUGAGAAAUCUUGACCAUCAGCAUACUUCAUGCAUAAUCCCUUCAUGUGUAUAUUUUCUUCCUUCAUUUGUGGUCGACAUUUUCUCAAAAAGAUUGCCCGCUACAAUGAAGUGAUUGUUGAAGGCAUUGGCAAUGGCGUUCUUAUCAGUAAUGAGUCCAGUAUCCAACCCUAUCUGAUUUGGGAGUGUGGAGUGCAUAUUGUUCUUUAAUGUUUUAAGUACUUUCCAGAAUUUGGCUGGAUUCCCAUAACAGUCAUUUAAACUAAUCACAUAGUAAUCCGAUUUUGUUCUUCUAACAAGUCUGAUGCACAGGUUUCUCAGCUGCCUAAAAGUCUGCCAGUCAGAGCUAGAAGAAGUUUCUCUAGCCUUAGCCCAACGUGCAACACAACUGUUGUUGUGUCAGGAAUCUGCUUCUUGACUACUGGUAAAAUUCCUUAUUAAAUCAGUGACUUUAGCACCUGGAAAACCAAAUGUGCGUGUAUCUUGGAUUGACACUUGCUUUACCAUUGAGCUCCCGAUUAAAACGGUAGCUAGCCGUUUACCAUUAUUAUUUUCUUCCAAAGCCUUUUGUACAGCUCCAUUUUUAUUCUUGGUUUUUCCAACUCGGCCACCACAGAUCACACUCAUUGCUUCCGUCGCUGUAGAGGGUUGAGAUAAUGCCAGCGAGGACCUCUGAGUCCCACGCCGUACCGCUUGGUCCACAAAGGAGCCGCUAGCUGUAGCCUCUGGAGAAGAACCAGCAUCCCCUUUCUGCAAUGGCCAAUCCAAUGACGAUAGUCUGCCUGAUGGCGAGACUCCCCUCAGCUUGGUGUUGUUUGCUGCCAAUGGAGUGGAGAACGAGAAGGGUUUGUGGAUGUUGAAAACACSCACCUUAUUUAAGAGGACUCCAGGGGGUGCAAAGAAGUUUGUGGUGCCCUCGAGAACCUGGUCGAGUCCUCAACAGUUUAAACAGCUUCUCAUGGUGGUUGUCAUAGAUAGCUCAUGGACAUCAGUGAAACAUUUCCCAACACAGAAAUAGAGUUCCUGAAAGAGGCCCUCAACCAACCAGGAGGCUGUUUCCAGGCAAUAUGUGUCCCGGAUGGAGCAGAAUGGUGAAGGCAGAUGGUGCAUUGAAGUCUGCUUCAGAUGGCCCAGGCCAGACCUGGGGACCUGCUGCUCAUCUCUGCUAGUAUGCAGGAAUGUGUGCGCCCUUUGUUGGGAAAGUUGAGGCUUCAGUGUGCUGAACUCCUAGAAGGCUCAGGCAUGGCUGUUCGAAACCCCUCAGUGUUUUACUCCCUGUGGGUGGUAGACUUCCCACUGUUCCUGCCAAAAGAAGACGACCCUGGGCAGCUUGAUUCAGCCCACCAUCCAUUCACCGCACCUCUCCCUGAGGAUACCCACCUCUUCUACUACCAGCCUCAGUGUCUCCUUGGGCACAUAUUUAUAGAGAGACGAAACCCUCUCAACAGUGUUGACUGACCUUAUGAAGCUUGUUUCUGUGCCCUUGCUUGCUGUUUUGUACAAAUAAACUCUUUGAAAUGUG